Molecule: long non-coding RNA, 830 nt
Filed under: Setaria viridis
Lineage: Eukaryota; Viridiplantae; Streptophyta; Magnoliopsida; Poales; Poaceae
Description: long non-coding RNA (SVIR_LNC002102)
Source: RNAcentral
AAAAGGCGAUGAACUCAUGCGAUCCAAAGGCCAUGGUUGCGCCUUAAAUCGCUGUAAGAACCAAUAAAAAAAAAAGGUAACCAAGCAAGUCUCACCGAUCGUCAGAUUGGAAUAUAAUCUGCGUGGGGACAGAGCGGCUAGUGGGUGGUGUUAACGUUCGUGCUGUAAAGGAAGAAAAGCCGCUUUACUUGAACAACUUGGCACCAUCCUUGCCCAUGUCAAACUCGCUCGUCUGCUUGUCUUGGUCCCUAGCUCUUUUCUCUGAACGUCCUGUCACCUCACCACUUUGUUUUGGACUUCUGGUCAUGAAAAAGGUUGAGGACAAGGGCAUAAGGCGUGUGGCGACCACGCUCCCCUACCGGCUUAGCUUGGCUGUGGUGGCCCGCCACCUAGCUACAAACCAAUAAUGCAGUUGAUCUUGAUCCGUAUCUUUUGAUCUGCACCUUGAUUUUGACAUCUCCUUUUCUUGGUAUUUCUUAUUAGUAUUUGUAGAUCUAUCACUUAUGUGGUGUUCGCGGCAUGUAUGCACUCUUUUUAGCUGUAUGUAAUCCACAAAGAUAUCGGGUUUGGGGGGUCAAUACACGCUACAAAGAGAUAAGCAAGCCUCCAAAUGUAAGUAUAAUUCAACACACUGUGACCCUCUUACCCCCAGUCAUAGCUUAUCUUUUUGUUGAUGAAAUGUCGUAAUAGUUAUUCAGAUGAUACAAGCAAAAUAACAAUAAUCCUCCAUGCCUAUCUAAAGGUAGCCACCGAAUACCACUUGCACUACUCCAUUCAGAAAUUCGCAUUCGAUCACCUAAACGGUUGUCUCUGCCCCCCAUAACCCCCAC